RNAcentral lists this transfer RNA (26 nucleotides) under Sminthopsis ooldea (Ooldea dunnart). RNAcentral describes it as "partial tRNA-Thr". The record is from RNAcentral. Lineage: Eukaryota; Metazoa; Chordata; Mammalia; Dasyuromorphia; Dasyuridae.
GUCCAAGUAAUUUAAUUAAAAUACUG